AAACAAAAAGAGAGGGACAGAACUACAAUUCCUAUCUUUGCCAAAUAACCCCCACCCCCAGGCAAUGUUAUGAGGACAUUUUUAAUAACAGAGAAAGGCAAGUCAUAGGUGGACACAACCACCUUUGUGUUUUGCAAAACAACUCAACUUGGCAUUUAAUGGAGGCCGACUUAAUGAAUGACUGAAAAAAACACAUUUCAGAAGACACAGCUGAAAAACCACUGUUCUCAUGCCCUAACCCCUGAUCUGACAGAUGGGGAUUCUGGAAGUCUCUAGCUCCCCUGAGUCUCCUUUCACCCUGAGCGUUUCUGCUGUUGCUCCAAUGUCAGAGCUGACUCUUCCUGUGGAGAUAUCUGCCUGGAGACUAGGCAGGUGAAUACCUGCAUCGUCUGACUUCCUCCACCAGCCUCAGAAACUCUGCUACUGGGCUCAAUGUUGGUUACCAAAGAGACGGUUGGUUACCGUCCUCAUUCACGGAAAAAAAAAAAAAGCUCAUCUUUGUUUUCCCCACUACGCAUUUGAAAACUGUUGGAAAGAACGAUUUUAAUCCCUCAAAAAUGUGUGGCAUGGAGUUGUCAUCCUUAAACUCAGGAGGAAUCCCUCGCCUUAACCCUUCUAGAUUUUUCUAUGUUCUUCCUGCAGUUCUCACAUUCAAAUCAAAGUACAGAGCCAUGCAGAACCAUGCAACUCCAAACUUGGAGGGCGGUGAUGGUUGAGAAUCGAAUACAAACUUUCCCUGAAAGAUUGUACACUUCCUAGUGGUAUGAGUUCAGGGUGGUAAGUAGUGCUAAUCUUCCCCAUGUGCCUCACAGAUAAAUCUCUGACAGACUUAGGUUUUUGGUCCUCCUCUUAUCUCCCCCCUACCCCAUCCUCUCCCUCCAGCUACUUUCAUGAUAGCUCCUGUAAAAGAAGGGAUGUGGCUCUCUCUGCUCUCUCUAUAGCAUGUAUGAACCCAGGUCAAAGCGGAGUUAUGAUCUGGUACUUUCAUUUCAGGAAUUACAUCCUUCAUAUACACCAUGAGAUAUUUGAAGAAAUAUUUGUACACUUGUGUUCACUGCAGCAAGAUUGACAAUGGCCGAGAGGCUGAAGGCACCCAACUGGCCAUCAGCAGAUGAUGCAUAAGUAAUACAUGCCGUGUAGACAACGGUGUGUGUUUUGUCCUUAAAAACACCAAAGAACUGACAUAACAACACGGAAGAAAGUCAGCUACUUAUGAAGGACAGGUGCUGUGUGGUUCUGCUGUUCUAAGUCCCCUAGAGUUCACACAUAUAGAGUAAGAGAGGUUUCCUGUGUCUGGGAGGAAGGGGCAUAGGGGGUGAUCAAUGGAUUAGAAGGAUGGAGUUCCAGUGUUUCAAGAAAAAAAGAGUCCUGGGAUGUGAAGAGGGGGCAGUAACCACAGCAGGGCAGAUGUACUUACUAUCUUUCUCAGAGAGUUGAGAUUAAAUUUUGUAUGUAUUUCAUCGUAAUUUUAAAAAUUAAAGCUCACUGUUUAUAUAUCCCUUAAGAAGGGGUAAUGAAAAGUAGAGCAGUCCCAUAUGCAGGCCCAUGUAAAGCCAAUGCACCAAGCCCCUGUUCUCACAUCUGGACCAGCUUAAUGAAACCAUUGCUUUGGGGUUGG
RNAcentral lists this small RNA (1618 nucleotides) under Rattus norvegicus (Norway rat). Its description in RNAcentral is "uncharacterized LOC108352979". Lineage: Eukaryota; Metazoa; Chordata; Mammalia; Rodentia; Muridae. The record is from RNAcentral.